This 449-nucleotide ribosomal RNA is filed under the name uncultured Streptococcus sp. RNAcentral describes it as "bacterial SSU rRNA". It matches the Rfam family "Bacterial small subunit ribosomal RNA", at positions 930 to 1382 of the family's 1533-position model. The record is from RNAcentral. Lineage: Bacteria; Bacillati; Bacillota; Bacilli; Lactobacillales; Streptococcaceae.
CGGUGGAGCAUGUGGUUUAAUCGAAGCAACGCGAAGAACCUUACCAGGUCUUGACAUCCCGAUGCUAUUCUAGAGAUAGAAAGUUACUUCGGUACAUCGGUGACAGGUGGUGCAUGGUUGUCGUCAGCUCGUGUCGUGAGAUGUUGGGUUAAGUCCCGCAACGAGCGCAACCCCUAUUGUUAGUUGCCAUCAUUCAGUUGGGCACUCUAGCGAGACUGCCGGUAAUAAACCGGAGGAAGGUGGGAUGACGUCAAAUCAUCAUGCCCCUUAUGACCUGGGCUACACACGUGCUACAAUGGUUGGUACAACGAGUUGCGAGUCGGUGACGGCGAGCUAAUCUCUUAAAGCCAAUCUCAGUUCGGAUUGUAGGCUGCAACUCGCCUACAUGAAGUCGGAAUCGCUAGUAAUCGCGGAUCAGCACGCCGCGGUCGAAUACGUUCCCGGGCCUU